RNAcentral lists this ribosomal RNA (482 nucleotides) under uncultured bacterium. RNAcentral describes it as "partial 16S ribosomal RNA". It matches the Rfam family "Bacterial small subunit ribosomal RNA", at positions 30 to 507 of the family's 1533-position model. The record is from RNAcentral.
AUUGAACGCUGGCGGCAUGCCUUACACAUGCAAGUCGAACGGUAACGGGCCUUCGGGUGCCGACGAGUGGCGAACGGGUGAGUAAUACAUCGGAACGUGCCCGAUCGUGGGGGAUAACGAGGCGAAAGCUUUGCUAAUACCGCAUACGAUCUACGGAUGAAAGCAGGGGGCCGCAAGGCCUUGCGCGGACGGAGCGGCCGAUGGCAGAUUAGGUAGUUGGCGGGAUAAAAGCUUACCAAGCCGACGAUCUGUAGCUGGUCUGAGAGGAUGAUCAGCCACACUGGGACUGAGACACGGCCCAGACUCCUACGGGAGGCAGCAGUGGGGAAUUUUGGACAAUGGGCGCAAGCCUGAUCCAGCCAUGCCGCGUGCAGGAUGAAGGCCUUCGGGUUGUAAACUGCUUUUGUACGGAACGAAAAGCCUUCUUUUAAUACAGGAGGGUCAUGACGGUACCGUAAGAAUAAGCACCGGCUAACUACGUG